CGAGAAUUUUUCACAAUGGGUGCAAGCCUGAUGGAGCGACGCCGCGUGGGGGAUGAAGGGUUUCGAUCCGUAAACCCCUGUCAUUUGCGAACAAUGCUCAUUGGAUAACAUCCAACUGAGUUGAUAGUAGCGAAAGAGGAAGGGACGGCUAACUCUGUGCCAGCAGCCGCGGUAAUACAGAGGUCCCAAGCGUUGUUCGGAUUCACUGGGCGUAAAGGGUGCGUAGGUGGCCGGGUAAGUUCGGUGUGAAAGCUCGGAGCUCAACUCCGAAAUGGCAUUGAAUACUAUCCGGCUGGAGGGUCGGAGGGGAGACUGGAAUUCUCGGUGUAGCAGUGAAAUGCGUAGAUAUCGAGAGGAACACCAGUGGCGAAGGCGAGUCUCUGGACGACACCUGACACUGAGGCACGAAAGCUAGGGGAGCAAAC
This 425-nucleotide ribosomal RNA is filed under the name uncultured bacterium. RNAcentral's name for it is "bacterial SSU rRNA". It matches the Rfam family "Bacterial small subunit ribosomal RNA", at positions 356 to 773 of the family's 1533-position model. The record is from RNAcentral.